This 369-nucleotide ribosomal RNA is filed under the name Triticum aestivum (bread wheat). RNAcentral's name for it is "partial small subunit ribosomal RNA". The record is from RNAcentral. Lineage: Eukaryota; Viridiplantae; Streptophyta; Magnoliopsida; Poales; Poaceae.
AUGAUGAUGGUUAAUGUUGAUGCAAGGUUCCUUGAAACAGAACAUACUGCUGGUAGAGCGGCUGGUGUUCGUGGGUAUGAUGGAGCCUUGGUCCGUGCCCAAGAUCUUUGGGUUCAGCAAACACCAAACGCACUGACGCCGGAGGCCUAUGUAGUGAGAGAUGGAGUAAGGCUAGCUUGUGAUAUGAGGAUUCAGAAUGUGGUGAUUGAAAUGGAUGCUAAAGGUGUUAUGGACCUAUGGAAAAUGUUGCAAUCUGAGGGCUGCCUUAGCUCCGAGAUGAACUAUAGGAACCCGUCGUGUGGUGGCUCUAGUACCCACACUCUUGAGGACCUUCAUAAACAUGGGAUAUCACACUCUGUGACGAGGUAA